This is a long non-coding RNA of Eriocheir sinensis (Chinese mitten crab), 595 nucleotides long. RefSeq lists it as uncharacterized. The transcript has 2 exons. The record is from RefSeq and is a predicted model, not a curated record. Lineage: Eukaryota; Metazoa; Arthropoda; Malacostraca; Decapoda; Varunidae.
AUCGUGUGUGUGUGUGUGUGUGUGUGUGUGUGUGAGAGAGAGAGAGAGAGAGAGAGAGAGAGAGAGAGAGAGAGAGAGAGAGAGAGAGAGAGAGAGAGAGAGAGAGAGAGAGAGAGAGAGAGAGAGACGGAAAAUUUGAGGCAGCAAGAUACAUUUUGCUAUUCAAUCUGGCAACACUGUCUGCAUUGUCGGAUAUAAAACCUGGCUGUCUCGAGACCCACAGCAGACCAAGAGGUGAAUUACAAAGGACUCAGCUACUCACAACCCUGAAGCCCCACCAUGAAGGUGACCGCUGCCUUUCUCCUGCUGAUGGCCGUGUUGGCCGCCGUGCUGUGCUCACACCCCUCGCUCGCCGCGGUCGGGCUAGGACAUCAUGUUGAGCACGGGUGUGCAACUUAUUGUCCUUCAGGAAUUGGUCAGUCUUCAUUGAAAUGGUUCUCCUGCCCCAUUGAUGGAUAGUUGUUCAACCCAGCACCACUGGAAUCAGUAAAUAAACGAACCCUGGAAAGCAGUAUGUGGGUCUCCUGCCUCAUUCAUGGAUAGUUGUUCAAUCCAGCACCAGUGGAAUCAGUAAAUAAACGAACCCUGCAACGCA